This 628-nucleotide ribosomal RNA is filed under the name uncultured marine eukaryote. RNAcentral's name for it is "SSU rRNA". It matches the Rfam family "Eukaryotic small subunit ribosomal RNA", at positions 755 to 1382 of the family's 1831-position model. The record is from RNAcentral.
CUUUGAAAAAAUCAGAGUGUUUCAAGCAGGCAGUGCGCUCUUGCAUGGAUUAGCAUGGGAUAAUGAAAUAGGACUUUGGUGCUAUUUUGUUGGUUUCGAACACCGAAGUAAUGAUUAAAAGGGACAGUCAGGGGCACUCGUAUUCCGCCGAGAGAGGUGAAAUUCUCAGACCAGCGGAAGACGAACCACUGCGAAAGCAUUUGCCAGGGAUGUUUUCACUGAUCAAGAACGAAAGUUAGGGGAUCGAAGACGAUCAGAUACCGUCGUAGUCUUAACCAUAAACCAUACCGACUAGGGAUUGGAGGAUGUUCACAUAUCGACUCCUUCAGCACCUUACGGGAAACUAAAGUCUUUGGGUUCCGGGGGGAGUAUGGUCGCAAGGCUGAAACUUAAAGGAAUUGACGGAAGGGCACCACCAGGUGUGGAGCCUGCGGCUUAAUUUGACUCAACACGGGGAAACUUACCAGGUCCAGACAUUGUGAGGAUUGACAGAUUGAGAGCUCUUUCUUGAUUCGAUGGGUGGUGGUGCAUGGCCGUUCUUAGUUGGUGGAGUGAUUUGUCUGGUUAAUUCCGUUAACGAACGAGACCUUAGCCUGCUAAAUAGUGACGCGAACACUUCGUUCGCGGG